RNAcentral lists this ribosomal RNA (233 nucleotides) under Vibrio parahaemolyticus. RNAcentral describes it as "partial 23S ribosomal RNA". It matches the Rfam family "Bacterial large subunit ribosomal RNA", at positions 1719 to 1932 of the family's 2925-position model. The record is from RNAcentral. Lineage: Bacteria; Pseudomonadati; Pseudomonadota; Gammaproteobacteria; Vibrionales; Vibrionaceae.
AAAAUGGUACCGUAACUUCGGGAGAAGGUACGACUCUUGAUGGUGAAGUCCCUUGCGGAUGGAGCUGACGAGAGUCGCAGAUACCAGGUGGCUGCAACUGUUUAUUAAAAACACAGCACUAGUGCAAAAUCGUAAGAUGACGUAUACGGUGUGACGCCUGCCCGGUGCCGGAAGGUUAAUUGAUGGGGUUAGACUUCGGUCGAAGCUCUUGAUCGAAGCCCCGGUAAACGGCG